GAUGAACGCUGGCGGCGUGCCUAAUACAUGCAAGUCGAGCGAACGGAUAAGGAGCUUGCUCCUUUGAAGUUAGCGGCGGACGGGUGAGUAACACGUGGGUAACCUGCCUAUAAGACUGGAAUAACUUCGGGAAACCGGAGCUAAUGCCGGAUAACAUAUAGAACCGCAUGGUUCUAUAGUGAAAGAUGGUUUUGCUAUCACUUAUAGAUGGACCCGCGCCGUAUUAGCUAGUUGGUAAGGUAAAGGCUUACCAAGGCGACGAUACGUAGCCGACCUGAGAGGGUGAUCGGCCACACUGGAACUGAGACACGGUCCAGACUCCUACGGGAGGCAGCAGUAGGGAAUCUUCCGCAAUGGGCGAAAGCCUGACGGAGCAACGCCGCGUGAGUGAUGAAGGUUUUCGGAUCGUAAAACUCUGUUAUUAGGGAAGAACAAAUGCGUAAGUAACUGUGCGCAUCUUGACGGUACCUAAUCAGAAAGCCACGGCUAACUACGUGCCAGCAGCCGCAGUAAUAC
This 516-nucleotide ribosomal RNA is filed under the name uncultured bacterium. RNAcentral's name for it is "bacterial SSU rRNA". It matches the Rfam family "Bacterial small subunit ribosomal RNA", at positions 28 to 526 of the family's 1533-position model. The record is from RNAcentral.